This is a long non-coding RNA of Thalassophryne amazonica, 187 nucleotides long. RefSeq lists it as uncharacterized. The transcript is spliced from 3 exons. The record is from RefSeq and is a predicted model, not a curated record. NCBI's taxonomy places the organism in Eukaryota, Metazoa, Chordata, Actinopteri, Batrachoidiformes, Batrachoididae.
GCUUAAAUCAGAAGAAUAUGUGUGAAAACACAGAAUUGUGGGAUGUUGGAGAUGUUGAACAUUAAAUAUCAAACACACGAAAAUGUAAAAGAUAGAUAAAAAGUGAUUUGACACAAUAUGGCCCCUUUAAUAAUUAUUUUAUUAGAUUCAAGACCAUUUUAUUUUAAGUCUGUCCAUUGAACAUUAA